This 468-nucleotide ribosomal RNA is filed under the name uncultured bacterium. RNAcentral's name for it is "partial 16S ribosomal RNA". It matches the Rfam family "Bacterial small subunit ribosomal RNA", at positions 28 to 507 of the family's 1533-position model. The record is from RNAcentral.
GACGAACGCUGGCGGCGUGCUUAACACAUGCAAGUCGAACGGAAAGGCCCUGCUUUUGUGGGGUGCUCGAGUGGCGAACGGGUGAGUAACACGUGAGUAACCUGCCCUUGACUUUGGGAUAACUUCAGGAAACUGGGGCUAAUACCGGAUAGGAGCUCCUGCUGCAUGGUGGGGGUUGGAAAGUUUCGGCGGUUGGGGAUGGACUCGCGGCUUAUCAGCUUGGUGGUGGGGUAGUGGCUUACCAAGGCUUUGACGGGUAGCCGGCCUGAGAGGGUGACCGGCCACAUUGGGACUGAGAUACGGCCCAGACUCCUACGGGAGGCAGCAGUGGGGAAUAUUGCACAAUGGGCGGAAGCCUGAUGCAGCAACGCCGCGUGCGGGAUGACGGCCUUCGGGUUGUAAACCGCUUUCGUCUGUGACGAAGCGUGAGUGACGGUAAUGGGUAAAGAAGCACCGGCUAACUACGUG